This 2899-nucleotide long non-coding RNA is filed under the name Musa acuminata (dwarf banana). RNAcentral's name for it is "long non-coding RNA (MACU_LNC005452)". The record is from RNAcentral. Lineage: Eukaryota; Viridiplantae; Streptophyta; Magnoliopsida; Zingiberales; Musaceae.
GAUAGCUCUUGUUCGUAAGGUCCUCCUUUUGAUCAUGUCGCAGACUCUGCCUGGCGUCCCAGAAACGACAUGAACACCAUACUCCAGCUUUCUAAUAUCUUCCCCUAUACUCUUCCCACCAAUGCAUGCAUGGGCUUGCACAUUUAUGUAUUCACCAAUAGCCAAUAUCACCUUCUCAGUCUGGGCAGCAAGUUCUCUAGUAGGUGACAGAAUAAGUGCCUGCACUCUGAAAAAGAAAUGCUUGAACUUAAACAGAUUAGUUUUAAUAAUGGUGAAUCAUGUGAAUGCAGAAUGGUGAAUCAGGUAUGACAUGUAUUUAUUUUUAUUAACUAUCUGAUACGAAUAUUUUAAUCAGAAAUAUUGCAUUAAACCACAAUGGCAGGAAAAGAUACAUAUAUCGAUCUCAAAUAGUUCAGAUAUUAUAAAACAUAUAAAUGUCAUAAAUAUGCCCAUACAUCAUAUAAGAAAAGAUUUUCCAGGUUCACUUUUCCAAAGUUGCAACUAUUAAUUGCAAAUAUUCAAUCUGCAGAAAAUGUGAUAUCCAAGUAGGCUUAUGAUUUUGAUCAUUAAAAUGUUUUUUGCAUCGGCUCAUUAAUUGAUAUUUAUCCCUACAACAUAUCAUCUUUCUUAAAUAUAAAGUAUCUGUUACUAAUGAAGUUUAGCCUCUGUUUCAUGUUGAUAGAAUUAAUAAUCAAUGCAGAGAAAUGAUGUGUUUUUUUCACAACAUAGAUAAGUGGAUAGGCAAAAGUGAAUCGCAUUACGACAUUUAUUUAUUCUGCAAGAUAUUAUAAAGCCUGUUCAUGCAUAACAUCGUUCAGUUAUAAUCAUGGCAAAGGUUCUUACCGUGCAAGUUGGCUUAUGUUCUGCUACAUAGGGGUCUUGAAUAGUGGUCGGAUGUAGAGAGACAUUUGGUUGUGAAUUCCAAAAAGGAAAAUAAUAUAAAUAUAUCUACACAACUUCAUAUUUAGUUCAAGUCACAGUUCCAUACAUCAUCCUCUACCGUCAUUCCUUAGCAUACUUGUAGGAAUAAUACUGUCCAUAAUUUACACUAUAUGGUAUGAUUUACUACACUAUUAAGGUUUUUGGGUUUUUGGUUAUGCAUGAAAAAGCAACAGGAUUUUCAUGCCUACCACAAUUAUAUGAAAUUUAGAUAGAAAAAUAAAACUUAGAACUUGACAUAAAUACCCUUUACUAUUACCACCUCUACAUACCACAAGCUGCUAAAUGAAUAAAGAAAACCAAACUAAAUUAUUCAAUAAACUUCUGAAUUGAUUAAUUGUUAACUACAAAGUACAAAUAAUUCCACAUAUAUCAAGCUCACGAAAUGCUUUCACUAGAAUGUCGGAGACAAGUUGCAAAAUCUUCUUGAUGUUUAAUCUUUGUUGUUGGGUUAUUAUAUCCAUUUGUAUGUAAUUAGUUAAUUUAAUAAAUUGUUCUCCAUUAAUUUCAUUGUUAUCUCAUAUAUUCUUUUAUCUUUACUGCUUUGUGUCCAUAUAUACAUUGUUUUGAAAAGUUAGAACUCCAUUUUCUAUAGUCUAAAUGCUGCAUUUAAACACUUGAGGAGGACGUAUUUUCUAAUCAUUUAGAUAUAUAGGUUGUUAAAUGUAACUGUUUUGAUCUGCCACUCCUAUAAUUUUUUCCCGCAAAAGAUGUACUUGUACUAAGACAACUAGCAAUUUUGCUAUUAAAUAUGAGGAUCCAAUUAGAUGUUCACAACAUUGUCUUUUGUUAUAAGAUUCAAAAAUUGGCCUAGAUCAAAUAAUUCAUCUACAAUACCGAAUUGAUUAGGGUUUAUUGUAUUAGAAUGAGCUGAUACUACAAACUAUGGCACAAUACAAUUUGUAUAUAGUGAGGUGAUCUGCUGAAAGACAAAGUUCUAAGCCAUAAUUUAUUUGAAGAGACUAAAUUAUAUUUAUCCAGCACACAAUCUUUUCUCAUGCUAUUCCUUCAUCCAACCUAGCUCCUGUACCCCUUUCAACCCCUAUUUACUAUUGCACUGCACGUGGAAAAAAAAUGCAACAGCAAAAUAACAUAUAAUUUCAGCUUUAAAGAAUCCACAUUAAAAUGAUCCAGAUUGAAGCUUGUUCUAUUAAUGCAUCUCCAAACAAUUAGGUUACACAAGAAAUGGCGUUCACGCAACAAUUUUCAUUUGGGAAAAGAGAAAGUCGCUUGGUCUCUUGGUAGAAAUCCAAACAUCCCUCAACAUGAAAAAUCAAUCAUGUGCUGGUCAAAUGCAAAAAUAUGUAACUGGGGAGCUCCAGUCAUGUCUACACUCUACCAAUUGUCAAACUGCUUUUACAUCUAGCUUAACCCAAAAGAAUAAUACUCACAAUUUGACAUGAUUGUCCAGCCUUCUCUAAAGUAUGUUUGAUAAUUUUCCAAAGCAACCUCUUAUGCCAUUAAAAAGGAAAAAGAUGCAACUAACAAUCCCGAUGGACAAUAGGUCAUAUAAGUUUCUGCAACCAAUAAUCCCAGCCAUCAACCAAGCUUGAAAUAGUCGAAAUCAAGUGUACAGUUCCCAUGACAUAAACCAAAUAUAAACUUAGCCUAUAAACCUAACACAAAUAAGAAUGAGAAAGAAAAAUUGACAACAAUAAGGAAGGAAAUCGAGGUAAAAGAAAAAAAGAUACAAAUCAUACUCUCGCAUGGAGGUAUCGACCAUCUGGCAGACGGACAGGGCGAUCAUAGAGGACUUCCCGGUACCGGACUGCGCCUGGGCGAUGACGUCGCGGCCAUUGAUGAUGGGAAUCACAGCCCGCUGCUGGAUCGCGGAGGGCUUCUCGAACCCGUAAGCGUAGAUCCCGCGGAGGAGGUCGUCGCGGAUGCCCAUCUGGUCGAAGCUGGUGAUGGCCUCCACCCCGGGGCUGGUCUCGAAGACGAGGUUCUCGUCGUCCAUGGG